GAUGAACGCUAGCGGCGGGCUUAAUACAUGCAAGUCGAGGGGCAGCACGGGUAGCAAUACCUGGUGGCGACCGGCAAACGGGUGCGGAACACGUACGCAACCUUCCCAUAACUGGUGGAUAGCCCUCCGAACGGAGGACUAAUACACCGCAACAUAACGAUGAGGCAUCUUUUUUCUCUAAUAGUAACCAUACGGUUUUGGAUGGGCGUGCGCCUGAUUAGGUAGUUGGAGGGGUAACGGCCCGCCAAGCCUGCGAUCAGUAACUGGUGUGAGAGCACGACCAGGCACACGGGCACUGAGACACGGGCCCGACUCCUACGGGAGGCAGCAGUAAGGAAUAUUGGUCAAUGGACGAAAGUCUGAACCAGCCAUGCCGCGUGAAGGAUUAAGGCCCUCUGGGUUGUAAACUUCUUUUAUCUGGGACGAGAAAAGGGUAUUCUUACUCACUUGACGGUACCAGAGGAAUAAGCACCGGCUAACUCCGUGCCAGCCGCCGCGGUAA
Molecule: ribosomal RNA, 502 nt
Filed under: uncultured bacterium
Lineage: Bacteria
Description: partial 16S ribosomal RNA
Rfam family: Bacterial small subunit ribosomal RNA
Source: RNAcentral